RNAcentral lists this ribosomal RNA (893 nucleotides) under Neobacillus sedimentimangrovi. RNAcentral's name for it is "partial 23S ribosomal RNA". It matches the Rfam family "Bacterial large subunit ribosomal RNA", at positions 1 to 890 of the family's 2925-position model. The record is from RNAcentral. Lineage: Bacteria; Bacillati; Bacillota; Bacilli; Caryophanales; Bacillaceae.
GGUUAAGUUAGAAAGGGCGCACGGUGAAUGCCUUGGCACUAGGAGCCGAUGAAGGACGGGACUAACACCGAUAUGCUUCGGGGAGCUGUAAGUAAGCUUUGAUCCGGAGAUUUCCGAAUGGGGAAACCCACUGCUCGUAAUGGAGCAGUAUCAUUACCUGAAUCCAUAGGGUAAUGAGGGCACACCCGGGGAACUGAAACAUCUAAGUACCCGGAGGAAGAGAAAGCAAAUGCGAUUCCCUGAGUAGCGGCGAGCGAAACGGGAACAGCCCAAACCGAAAGGCUUGCCUUUCGGGGUUGUAGGACACUCAAUACGGAGUUACAAAGGAACGGGGUAGAUGAAGCGGCCUGGAAAGGCCUGCCGUAGAAGGUAAAAGCCCUGUAGUCGAAACUUCGUUCCCUCCUGAGUGGAUCCUGAGUACGGCCGGACACGUGAAAUCUGGUCGGAAGCAGGGAGGACCAUCUCCCAAGGCUAAAUACUCCCUAGUGACCGAUAGUGAACCAGUACCGUGAGGGAAAGGUGAAAAGCACCCCGGGAGGGGAGUGAAAGAGAACCUGAAACCGUGUGCCUACAAGUAGUCAGAGCCCGUUUAUGGGUGAUGGCGUGCCUUUUGUAGAAUGAACCGGCGAGUUACGAUUACAUGCGAGGUUAAGUUGAAGAGACGGAGCCGUAGCGAAAGCGAGUCUGAAUAGGGCGAUGGAGUAUGUAGUCGUAGACCCGAAACCAGGUGAUCUACCCAUGUCCAGGGUGAAGUCCAGGUAACACUGGAUGGAGGCCCGAACCCACGCACGUUGAAAAGUGCGGGGAUGAGGUGUGGGUAGCGGAGAAAUUCCAAUCGAACUUGGAGAUAGCUGGUUCUCUCCGAAAUAGCUUUAGGGCUAGCCUCACGUAGU